AUUGAACGCUGGCGGCAUGCCUUACACAUGCAAGUCGAACGGCAGCACGGGUGCUUGCACCUGGUGGCGAGUGGCGAACGGGUGAGUAAUACAUCGGAACAUGUCCUGUAGUGGGGGAUAGCCCGGCGAAAGCCGGAUUAAUACCGCAUACGAUCUACGGAUGAAAGCGGGGGACCUUCGGGCCUCGCGCUAUAGGGUUGGCCGAUGUCGGAUUAGCUAGUUGGUGGGGUAAAGGCCUACCAAGGCGACGAUCAGUAGCUGGUCUGAGAGGACGACCAGCCACACUGGGACUGAGACACGGCCCAGACUCCUACGGGAGGCAGCAGUGGGGAAUUUUGGACAAUGGGCGAAAGCCUGAUCCAGCAAUGCCGCGUGUGUGAAGAAGGCCUUCGGGUUGUAAAGCACUUUUGUCCGGAAAGAAAUCCUUGGCUCUAAUACAGUCGGGGGAUGACGGUACCGGAAGAAUAAGCACCGGCUAACUACGUG
RNAcentral lists this ribosomal RNA (486 nucleotides) under uncultured bacterium. Its description in RNAcentral is "partial 16S ribosomal RNA". It matches the Rfam family "Bacterial small subunit ribosomal RNA", at positions 30 to 507 of the family's 1533-position model. The record is from RNAcentral.